RNAcentral lists this long non-coding RNA (4228 nucleotides) under Homo sapiens (human). Its description in RNAcentral is "HSALNT0141629". The record is from RNAcentral. Lineage: Eukaryota; Metazoa; Chordata; Mammalia; Primates; Hominidae.
CUCAAGGGGAGUUAACAGUGUGAGCACAUAACGGUCAGCACAGCAGGACUCAAGCAGAAAGCAGGGGAGUUGGAGGAAACCUCGUUCCAGCACAGAUGGUCCUGACUGACAACCCCAGCCAGCCUUGGGAGCAAUAGUUGAGAUAAAUCUAAAAUUAUAGGGUCUUCCCACAAAGGUGAGAAAAGGUGAUAUUUGAAGAAGAAAAGAUCCUGGAAAGGCAUGGAAAGAGCCUGACUACACUUAAUGGAGAUGCUCCACAGAUGCAAGUUUUUCGCCACAAAAUACAGCUUUGCAAGGUCACUUCUGUUUGCUCACUUUGUGGCAGCCAUUUUUAUUUCUUUAAAUAUAAAAAAUAUAUUUUGAGGUAAAAUAUUUUUAUUUCCUUCAGAGUUAUUAGUGGAAUUGUGUCCUCAAAAAAAAAAAAAAAAAAAGGCCAAGUGCAGUGGCUGUCACCUGUAAUCCUAGCACUUUGGGAGGACCAAGGCAGGUGGAUCACCUGAGGUCAAGAGUUCAAGACCAGCCUGGCCAGCAUGGCAAAACCUCGUCUCUACUAAAAAUACAAAAAAAAAAAAAAAAAAAAGCCAGGUGUGGUGGCAUGUGCCUGUAAACCCAGCUACUCAGGAGGCUGAGGCAUGAGAAUCAUUUGAACUUGGGAGGCAGAGAUUGCAGUGAGCCGAGAUUGUGCCACUGCAUUCCAGCCUGGGAGACAGGGUGAGACUCCAUCUCAAAAAAAUAAAAAAUAAAAAAGAUAUGUCGAAGUCCUAACUCCUAGUACCUCAGAACUGAAAAUAGAGUUUUUACAGAGGUAAUCAGAUUAAGAUGAGGUCUUUAGUGGGCCUCUAGUCCAAUAUGACUGCUAUCUUUAUUGAAAGGGGGAAAUUUAAACAUAGAGAUAGACACAUACAGAGGGAAGACACACAGGGAGGAUGCCGUGUGAAGAUGGAACACUAGACGGACACAUGUACAAGUCAAAGAAUGCCAGAAAUUGCCAGCAAACCACCAAAGUUGGAAGAAGCCAAGAAGCAUUCCCCUGCAGGUUUCAGAGGGACCGUGACCCUGCGACACCUUGGCCUCAGAGUUUUCAGCCUUCAUAACUGUGAGACGAUACAUCUCUGGUGUUCUAAGCCACACAAUGUGUGGUACUUUGUUUUGACAGCCCUAGGAAACUACUACAGAAUGUGUCUGAGACCUUGGACCAACCAUCCCUGGUCUGGACAUCAGCCUGCCAACACCUACACAGAGUCAACUUGGGCGGGUCACACAUGCAGCAGAGGCAGCCGGACACCAUGCUCCUGUAUGGGUGGCCCACGUCCACAGCUGACCACCUCCAGCUGUUACAGUAGAUAGCUAGCUAGUCAGGCAUGAGUGGGGCAGGAGGAGACUCCCCCCAACCCACUAGGAAUGUCAGGCAACCAUCAGGUAAUGGUCCAGCAGUUGUCACAUUGCCUCUCUAAAAUGAUCAUAGGUUAAAGCUGGUGCCAGGGAGAGGUAGUUUCCCAGUAGAUACAAGUACCUGAAAUUGGUAAUCGGCAGGCUCCAAUAAGAUCUCAGGAAUUGGGCAAGUGGGCUUAUGCAUGCAGAUUAAGAGGAAAAAUGGCAGAGUAUGACCUUCCAGGGGCAUUCCACCAGAAAAUGGAAGAAAGCCUCGAGUGAGCAUGCACACAACUCCAGUAAACACAGUGCACAUGCUCACCUUCCAAGCGCAAGCAGGGCACUGUGCAUGCAGGCGGCUCACCCUAAGGGAAGAAUGAAGGGAAAGGGGCACAAGACAUGGAAGUAGGCCAGCAUAUGAACUUUUAAAUCACACCCUGCACUGGACCUCCAAGAUGUCAGCUUAGGUCUCUUUCAAAUAUACUUUCCUUUCUUUCCUGUUCUAAGGCUUUUUAAUAAACUUCCACUCCUGCUCUGAAACUUGCCUCAGUCUCCUUUUCAGCCUUAUGCCUCUCGGUCAAAUUCUUUUCUUCUGGGGGGCAAGAACUGAGGUUCCUGCUGACUCAUAUGGGUUUGCCACCAGUAACUCAGAUACCUUCUACCACUAACAUAUUUUGGUGCCUUGUGACUCGGAUCCCCUCUGCCAGUAACACAGUCUUGUUGCCCACCUGACAAACCCAGACCUCUUCAGUCAGUCAACAGCAUAUGGAGACUUUGCUUUCUAAUAUGGGACAGAAAUCAUUCCUGAUCUUUGGGCUUUGCUGCGGUUUGAAUGUCUCCUCCAAAACUCAUGGUGAAAUUUGAUUGCCAUUGUGAUGGUAUUAAGAGGUGGGACCUUUAAGAGUUAGUUAGAUCAUGAGAGCUCUGCCUUCCUGAAUGAAUUAAUGCUGUUAUUGUGGGAAUGACUUAGUUAUUGUGAGAGUGGGCUCCUGAUUUAAAAGAUGAGUUUGGCCCCCUCCCUCUCUGUCUGUCUUGGAUGCUCCCUGGGCCUUCUUCUGCCUUGUGCCAUGGGAUGAUGCACCAAGAAGGCUCUUACCAGAUGCUGGCCCCUCAACCUUGGACUUCCCAGCCUCCAGAACUGUGAGAAGUAAAUUUCCAUUCUUUAUAAAUUAUCCAGUCUCAGGUAUUCUGUUGUAGCAACACAGAACGGACUAAGACAGGCUCUAAAAGAUCUUAUUCAUUUCUCAUCCCUGGGAACCUACUACACCCUGUACUCUACUGGCUUUCCUGCUUGGCAGGAAAAUGUUCCCACUCAGUGCCCAGCUUUGGUGCCUCAGUUUUUAUUUUCUUUUUAACUGACUCCAUUUUGUUCACUGUACUUGGAGCAAAAUAGCUUACUAUAAAAGCAAGAUGAUCCACAGCUCUGAUUUCCACACAAAAUUGAAAAUAAAAUAAAUAGACUGGGAAUAUAAGCUCUACAAGGGUAGGGAUCUUUGUUUUGUUCCCAUUGUUGGAUUUUAAGUACCUAGAGCAAAUAUUUGUUGAUUAUGCAUUGAAUAAAAAUGUGCUGAAUGACUAAUGAUUGAUAAAUGAGAAGACAAGUAUAUAUUCUGAACAGAUCUCAAAAAUUAAUCAGUAAAGCAGGAACUUGAGCUAUUCAAAAUGAACUGGUAGUAUUUCAGAACAUAGGCAAUGCCAUUUUUUAAAAAGAUAUGAUGUGGUUUAAAAUAAAGUUUUCUUGCAUAUUCCUCUGAAUUUAUUGCUUCCCCUGCAACACUUUUAAGUGGUAGAUGUUUUUUCCCAAUAGCCAUCACACCACUUGACCUAGUAGGUCCCCUACUUAUUUAUUGACUAUAACUCCUAGUGCACCAUCACUCUGUACAACAUAAGCCCCUGUUAAUUUCUGUAGAUUUACAUAAAGAUGAUUCUUCCAUCACCCUAGACUCUCAGUUCCUUGAAUUCUUCUCCUUUAAAAGCCCUCUUCCAUUUUACCUUACUUCUAUUUCCAAGAUGCACUUAUUACCAAUAAUCAAAACUCCUUCUCAUCUCAUUUCCAGGUAUCCUACACUGACCACCACCUUUAAUCUUUCCUAUAUGCUCCCUUCAGUCCUUCAAUUCCAACCAUCCUUCGAGUCUAGCAGAACUUUAAAGAUAUUGAUCCUAUCACUCACCCACUUGCUAUCCUAUUUCCUCAUCUUCCUCUGCAAGAAUUCCAUGGUUAAUCAUUAUAAUCACUCCCUUGGUACAUCCUCAACUCUCUCCCCGUCUCCAUUUGUCAUGCUGGCUCAGCAAAGAAACAAUCCUGGUUAAAUGAAAAUCUCUGUUUCCUCCGUGCCUGCUCUCAUGUGGUUGAAUGUGGCUGGAAAAAAACCAAAAAACCAAAAAAACACACAAUCUUGCUGGCUGGUCUCACCUUAAACUCAUGACCACAGUCUCAAAUGGGCUUUUAGUGCCUCUGGGCAAUCUUACUAUACUUUCCUAACCCAUUUGACCUUGUGCUUUUCUGGAUGAAAAUUUCAAGCUUCUCUUUUUCCAGACGUCUAGCACCUUCUCCCCGAUCCUCUCAGCUAACCAUCUUGACUCCUAUUUCACCAAGGAAAUAGAAGCACCAGAAGACUUCUACCCACUGCUACCACCACACCUACCCACCUGCAAGCACCUGUACCUGCAGCAUCUGUGGUUUCUCUCUUCCUGCACGUGAACCAUUCAUGCUGCUAUCUAAAGUCAGUUCCUCCACUUACACCUUCAUCCCAUCCUCUCUUACCUACUCAAGGGCAUCACUCCAUCAAUCUCUCUCCUGCAUCAAAAAUUUCCUCUUUCUGCCAUUUCUCCCAUCUGAAGGCAUGGGGAGGGUGAA